UACGUAGGGCGCAAGCGUUGUCCGGAAUUAUUGGGCGUAAAGAGCUCGUAGGCGGCCUGUUGCGUCCACGUGUGAAAUCCCGGGCUCAACCCCGGGCCUGCAGUGGAUACGGGCUGGCGUAGAGGCAGGCAGGGAGAACGGAAUUCCUGGUGUAGCGGUAGAAAUGCGCAGAUAUCAGGAGGAACCACCGGUGGCGAAGGCGGGUCGUCUGGGCCGAUACUGACGCUGAGGAGCGAAAGCGUGGGGAGCGAACAGG
This 256-nucleotide ribosomal RNA is filed under the name uncultured bacterium. RNAcentral describes it as "partial 16S ribosomal RNA". It matches the Rfam family "Bacterial small subunit ribosomal RNA", at positions 524 to 776 of the family's 1533-position model. The record is from RNAcentral.